GAAUAUUGGACAAUGGGCGAAAGCCUGAUCCAGCAAUGCCGCGUGUGUGAAGAAGGCCUUCGGGUUGUAAAGCACUUUAGGCUGGGAAGAAAAAGUUUCACCUAAUACGUGAAGCCUUGACGGUACCAGCGGAAUAAGCACCGGCUAACUCUGUGCCAGCAGCCGCGGUAAUACAGAGGGUGCUAGCGUUAAUCGGAUUUACUGGGCGUAAAGCGUGUGUAGGCGGUUCGUUAAGUCGGAUGUGAAAGCCCUGGGCUCAACCUAGGAAUUGCAUUCGAUACUGGCGAGCUAGAGUACGGUAGAGGGCGGCGGAAUUCCGGGUGUAGCGGUGAAAUGCGUAGAUAUCCGGAGGAACACCGAUGGCGAAGGCAACCGCCUGGGCCUGUACUGACGCUGAGACACGAAAGCGUGGGGAGCAAACAG
RNAcentral lists this ribosomal RNA (423 nucleotides) under uncultured bacterium. Its description in RNAcentral is "bacterial SSU rRNA". It matches the Rfam family "Bacterial small subunit ribosomal RNA", at positions 359 to 775 of the family's 1533-position model. The record is from RNAcentral.